AGAGUUUGAUCCUGGCUCAGGAUGAACGCUGGCGGCGUGCCUAAUACAUGCAAGUCGAGCGAACGGACGAGAAGCUUGCUUCUCUGAUGUUAGCGGCGGACGGGUGAGUAACACGUGGAUAACCUACCUAUAAGACUGGGAUAACUUCGGGAAACCGGAGCUAAUACCGGAUAAUAUUUUGAACCGCAUGGUUCAAAAGUGAAAGACGGUCUUGCUGUCACUUAUAGAUGGAUCCGCGCUGCAUUAGCUAGUUGGUAAGGUAACGGCUUACCAAGGCAACGAUGCAUAGCCGACCUGAGAGGGUGAUCGGCCACACUGGAACUGAGACACGGUCCAGACUCCUACGGGAGGCAGCAGUAGGGAAUCUUCCGCAAUGGGCGAAAGCCUGACGGAGCAACGCCGCGUGAGUGAUGAAGGUCUUCGGAUCGUAAAACUCUGUUAUUAGGGAAGAACAUAUGUGUAAGUAACUGUGCACAUCUUGACGGUACCUAAUCAGAAAGCCACGGCUAACUACGUGCCAGCAGCCGCGGUAAUACGUAGGUGGCAAGCGUUAUCCGGAAUUAUUGGGCGUAAAGCGCGCGUAGGCGGUUCUUUAAGUCUGAUGUGAAAGCCCACGGCUCAACCGUGGAGGGUCAUUGGAAACUGGAAAACUUGAGUGCAGAAGAGGAAAGUGGAAUUCCAUGUGUAGCGGUGAAAUGCGCAGAGAUAUGGAGGAACACCAGUGGCGAAGGCGACUUUCUGGUCUGUAACUGACGCUGAUGUGCGAAAGCGUGGGGAUCAAACAGGAUUAGAUACCCUGGUAGUCCACGCCGUAAACGAUGAGUGCUAAGUGUUAGGGGGUUUCCGCCCCUUAGUGCUGCAGCUAACGCAUUAAGCACUCCGCCUGGGGAGUACGACCGCAAGGUUGAAACUCAAAGGAAUUGACGGGGACCCGCACAAGCGGUGGAGCAUGUGGUUUAAUUCGAAGCAACGCGAAGAACCUUACCAAAUCUUGACAUCCUUUGACAACUCUAGAGAUAGAGCCUUCCCCUUCGGGGGGCAAAGUGACAGGUGGUGCAUGGUUGUCGUCAGCUCGUGUCGUGAGAUGUUGGGUUAAGUCCCGCAACGAGCGCAACCCUUAAGCUUAGUUGCCAUCAUUAAGUUGGGCACUCUAAGUUGACUGCCGGUGACAAACCGGAGGAAGGUGGGGAUGACGUCAAAUCAUCAUGCCCCUUAUGAUUUGGGCUACACACGUGCUACAAUGGACAAUACAAAGGGCAGCGAAACCGCGAGGUCAAGCAAAUCCCAUAAAGUUGUUCUCAGUUCGGAUUGUAGUCUGCAACUCGACUACAUGAAGCUGGAAUCGCUAGUAAUCGUAGAUCAGCAUGCUACGGUGAAUACGUUCCCGGGUCUUGUACACACCGCCCGUCACACCACGAGAGUUUGUAACACCCGAAGCCGGUGGAGUAACCUUUUAGGAGCUAGCCGUCGAAGGUGGGACAAAUGAUUGGGGUGAAGUCGUAACAAGGUAGCCGUAUCGGAAGGUGCGGCUGGAUCACCU
This 1540-nucleotide ribosomal RNA is filed under the name Staphylococcus aureus subsp. aureus TCH60. Its description in RNAcentral is "16S ribosomal RNA". It matches the Rfam family "Bacterial small subunit ribosomal RNA". Lineage: Bacteria; Bacillati; Bacillota; Bacilli; Caryophanales; Staphylococcaceae. The record is from RNAcentral.